This 253-nucleotide ribosomal RNA is filed under the name uncultured bacterium. RNAcentral describes it as "partial 16S ribosomal RNA". It matches the Rfam family "Bacterial small subunit ribosomal RNA", at positions 524 to 776 of the family's 1533-position model. The record is from RNAcentral.
UACAGAGGGUGCGAGCGUUAAUCGGAAUUACUGGGCGUAAAGGGCGCGUAGGCGGAUGAAUAAGUUGGGUGUGAAAGUCCUGGGCUUAACCUGGGGAUUGCAUUCAAUACUGUUUGUCUGGAGUGAAGUAGAGGGUGGCGGAAUUCCCGGUGUAGGGGUGAAAUCCGUAGAUAUCGGGAGGAACACCAGUGGCGAAGGCGGCCACCUGGACGGUGACUGACGCUGAGACUCGAAAGCGUGGGUAGCAAACAGG